AAUUUCUAUAUGCUGAGACAUUUUAACUUCGUGUAACGUGGAAACUUAAUGUGCAUAUUAUAGUCAAUAUUUUUCUUUGGUUGCUAAUAAAAAAUAAAUUGUUAAGUAGAGAUAAUCUAGGCAAAGGAAGAAGGUUGGAUAGCAUUUAAUAUUUAUUUGAUGAAAAGAAUAGUCCAUUUCACACUUGUUGUUUGGGUGUUGUGUUGUGAGGUUGAUCUGGUCGGAGAUUUCGGAAGUUGUGGGAACUAUCGUGUGGAUUAGUAAGAAGAGUCAUUCUGUUUAAAUAUAUGUUUCUCUACUACUCUUUGGUCUCUACGAAAGUAAGGGAUAUUGUUAUGCUUUCAUAAUAUACAAUGGAGAGAUGCAAAACAAGUCAUCGGGGAGAUUUCAAGAACUCUAUACAAAUGAGAAUGAACUUAUGCAGCUAGAGUGCUAGAUGUGAUCAUGAAGAUAUUGGAAACAAAAGAAAAUGAGGUUGCAAGACUAGGAUGGGAAAGAUCUGCAAGAUAUAAGACUUGAGGCUAGCUUGCAGAGAGCCCGUGAGCAUACUCCACAGCGGGCGAACUAUAUGACAAGAAGUUCCAGCACUAAAGAAAGCAUGUUGUCCAUGAAGCCAACUGUAGACUUGGCUUUAUAGUAGCAUGAUUGAAUCAGCUAGAUUUGAUGUUAGCAUCUUUGGCGAGUGCGCUUCGAAUACGCUUGUCCCACUGGAUGUUUUGUUUUAAUCUCGUAAUAAAACAAGGAAACCUAUCUUCUAAAACAAUGUAAAUAUAUGGACCUAAUAUGUCAAUGCCCAGAGAGCAAAUACAUUUUGUGGACUACUUUUAUAUGUGAUCAUUUACGUUUUUACUAUGUUUCGAAAGAAGAAUCUAAUGGAUGGUUUUAUCGAAUGUUUAUUAGAGUCGACAUAGUGGUUAGAUAUUUUUCAUGAGAAUUCUAGAGAGCUUUCUUUAUUUUUCUACACUAGUAGAGAACUCACCUUCCAUCCACCCCUUUUAUCCCAGUUUAAAGUUGGUCCGGAACAAAAGGUUCACCAACCGGGACUAAAAUCCCCACGCCACUGGUGGGGGCCUCACUAGUCGGGACUAAAGAACCCCUUUAGUCCCGGUUGUAAAGACUAGUGUCUGGAGGGACCUUUUAUCCCGGUUGGAAACACCAACUGGGACUUAAACCGGGACAAAAGGGGGUUGUUUCCAACCGGCAUAAAAGGAUCCCUACCCUCAUUUUUCGUGUGCCCCCUCCAACUCCCCUCUCUCUCACGCGCAUUACCCUUAUCCUUAUCUCUUUGCCCCCGCGUGUUACUGGCCUCCCACUCUCCUUCUCUCUGACGUGCGUUACUGGCCUGGCUUCCUUCCUUAUCCCUUUCUUUCCCUGGCCUCUCACUAGCACCACUGCCCCUCCCCUCCCUACCGGCCGGCGUUGCUGCCCCCUCCCCUCCCUAACGGCUGGCGCCGCCGCCCUCUCCCCCUCACUCCCACUGCCACUGCCCCCUCUGCU
This 1497-nucleotide long non-coding RNA is filed under the name Setaria viridis. RNAcentral describes it as "long non-coding RNA (SVIR_LNC007415)". The record is from RNAcentral. Lineage: Eukaryota; Viridiplantae; Streptophyta; Magnoliopsida; Poales; Poaceae.